CAAACGACUCUCGGCAACGGAUAUCUCGGCUCACGCAUCGAUGAAGAACGUAGCAAAAUGCGAUACUUGGUGUGAAUUGCAGAAUCCCGUGAACCAUCGAGUUUUUGAACGCAAGUUGCGCCCGAAGCCUUCCGGCCGAGGGCACGUCUGCCUGGGCGUCACAC
This 164-nucleotide ribosomal RNA is filed under the name Tephroseris integrifolia subsp. aucheri. RNAcentral's name for it is "5.8S ribosomal RNA". It matches the Rfam family "5.8S ribosomal RNA". Rfam says of the family: 5.8S ribosomal RNA (5.8S rRNA) is a component of the large subunit of the eukaryotic ribosome. It is transcribed by RNA polymerase I as part of the 45S precursor that also contains 18S and 28S rRNA. Functionally, it is thought that 5.8S rRNA may be involved in ribosome translocation. The record is from RNAcentral. Lineage: Eukaryota; Viridiplantae; Streptophyta; Magnoliopsida; Asterales; Asteraceae.